Molecule: ribosomal RNA, 253 nt
Filed under: uncultured bacterium
Lineage: Bacteria
Description: partial 16S ribosomal RNA
Rfam family: Bacterial small subunit ribosomal RNA
Source: RNAcentral
UACAGAGGUCUCAAGCGUUGUUCGGAUUCAUUGGGCGUAAAGGGUGUGUAGGUGGCGCGCUAAGUCGGGUGUGAAAUUUCGGAGCUUAACUCCGAAACUGCAUUCGAUACUGGCGUGCUUGAGGACUGGAGAGGAGACUGGAAUUUACGGUGUAGCGGUGAAAUGCGUAGAUAUCGUAAGGAAGACCAGUGGCGAAGGCGGGUCUCUGGACAGUUCCUGACGCUGAGGCACGAAGGCCAGGGGAGCAAACGGG